GCCAGAGGGUGUGUGAGGCACGGCCCCCUGGUGUGGUCCAGGUUCUGGGCGAGGCCAAUGGGAGGCUGCGGGCUGGGUGGCCGGUCCCUACUGACCACCCAUGAGACAAGGGGAGAGGACACCCAUGUGUUGUACAGCAUGACCCAUUUCCUAGGGAAACAGCGGUAGCACUGGCCGCCUCUGGGCGAGUUUUCCACUGUACCUUUUGCAUUUUAAACCACGUGGAUACAACAGUCUGUAAAUACUGGUAAACAGUGGGACGGGAUAGACAGCAACAGCAGCAGAGAUGAGGGCCGCCCGACGGCGCGGAGGGGCACCGGUGUGGCUGGUGUGCAGCCUGGGGCUGUGGAAGGCGCUGGGCCACCCCUAUGGAUCACUUUGGUUGCCCCAAAAGGAAAAUGUGGCGGGAGCUGAGCUGGGCACACAUUCUGCCGGCACAUCUGGACGCUGUCGUGCAAGACACCAUCCACGUCAUCGAGAGCCACAGCCGGGACCACUUCCUGUUUAAGGGCAGAGCCCUGUGCAAGAGUCUGCUCCUGGAUUACUUCGUGAGGAAGGACAAGGAUCUGGUUGGAGCUCUGGAGGCCUUGUGGCAGAGUCUGGAGGGCCGUCCCAACAUGUACUCCACUCUCACGUAUGAGAACAUCAUGCGAAGUUUGCACGUGGUGGUCUUUGGGGAGUACAUCCAGGCCCUGGCCACCCACCUCAAGAAGCUGGCGCCCGAGAAGUGGGAGGACAUCUUGGUUCAGGUGAACACUGACACCACGAAGUUGCACAACGUCUUCACGAAGCACAGGGAUGUCGGCUUGGCCAACCUACAGGAACCCAUCAUGGGAAUCUUCCAGCUCAGAGGGAACAAGGGCAGGGAGACUGUGGAUGACUGGCUGGCGUCCUUCAGGGACAGAUUCCCAAAUUAUUUAAGUGCCCAGGCCCAGCCAUGCUGCUCUGUGCUCUUGGAGGAGACCGAGGACAAGGGAAGCUGCUGCUCAUGCUGUUGACCCCAGCUCUGGUAAAGGUAACCGAGGCUGCAAGGCUCCAGAGCACUCCUCCAGGGUAGGCGAUAAGGCAGGGUCCAGCCCUGGGCCGGGUGGCCAGGGCAGGGACUUGGGGGACGUGGAGGGAAUGAGGUCGAGGGGCACAGCUGGAGCAUGGUCCCAUUGCUUUCAGAGGACAUUACGUCACCUUGUGCUCUCGGCCAGCAGUUCUCAAACGUUUUGGUCUCAGGAUACCUUUACUCUGAACAAUUACUCAAAGAACUGUGGCUUAUGGGAUUGCAUCUGAGAGUUACUACAUUAGAAUUAAAUCCAAGUAAUAUCUAGUAACAAUUCAUUUACAGUAUUUGUUAAAAUANUUAAAGAACUGUGGCUUAUGGGAUUGCAUCUGAGAGUUACUACAUUAGAAAUUAAAUCCAAGUAAUAUCUAGUAACAAUUCAUUUACAGUAUUUGUUAAAAUAAGUAGUAAUCCGGGGCACCUGGGUGGCUCAGUGGUUGAGCAUCUGCCUUUGACUCCAGUCAUGAUCUUGGGGUCCUGGGAUCAAGUCAUGCAUCGGGCUCCCUGCAGGGAGUCUGCUUCUCCCUCUUUCUCUGUGUCUCUCAUGAAUAAAUAGAUAAAAUCUUUUUAAAAAAUAGUAGUA
This 1634-nucleotide long non-coding RNA is filed under the name Vulpes vulpes (red fox). RNAcentral's name for it is "lncRNA (ENSVVUG00000000477.1)". The record is from RNAcentral. Lineage: Eukaryota; Metazoa; Chordata; Mammalia; Carnivora; Canidae.